GAGACAGAGUCUUGCUCUGUCGCCCAGGCUGGAGUGCAACGUGAGCCAAGAUCGCGCCAUUGCAGUCUAGCCUGUGCAACAAGAGCGAAACUCCAUCUCAAAAAAAAAAAAAACAAAAACAAAAAAACAAAAAUCCGGCCGGGCACUGUGGCUCUCACCUGUAGUCCUAGUACUUUGGGAGGCCAAGGCAAGAGGAUCAAUUGAGACCAACCUGGGCCAUAUAGGGAAACCCUGUGUCUACAAAAAACAGCAACACAAAAACUAUCCAGGCAUGGUGGCACACACCUCUAGUCCCAGCUGCUCGAGAGGCUGAGGCGGGAGGAUCGCUUGAGUCCGGGAGGUUGAGGCUGCCAUGAGCCUAUUAUGGCAUUGGACUCCAGUCUGGGUGACAGAGCCAGACCCUGUCUCCAAAAAAGAAAAAGAAA
This 425-nucleotide long non-coding RNA is filed under the name Homo sapiens (human). Its description in RNAcentral is "HSALNT0001495". Lineage: Eukaryota; Metazoa; Chordata; Mammalia; Primates; Hominidae. The record is from RNAcentral.